RNAcentral lists this ribosomal RNA (133 nucleotides) under uncultured bacterium. RNAcentral's name for it is "partial 16S ribosomal RNA". The record is from RNAcentral.
AUUCUUAUGGUACCGUCAGCCCCGACGCAUCGGGGGAGUUCUUCCCAUAUAAAAGUAGUUUACAACCCAUAGGGCCGUCAUCCUACACGCGGGAUGGCUGGAUCAGGGUUGCCCCCAUUGUCCAAUAUUCCUU